UUAUUACGAAGAACCUCCCCACCUCCUGACAUUCGCGGUAUGGGCUUCGGAGACGAUGUCCUUCAGUUAGGCUGUCCCCAGAACGGGUGCCCCAGGCCUGUGUUCAGCUCGUGUGGUGAGAUUUUGGUUAAAGUCCCCCACCGAGCCCACCCCUCUCCUUUAGUUGCCAGCAUUUAGCUGGGCACUCUAAGGGGACUGCCGGUGAUAAGCCGGAGGGAGGUGGGGAUGACGUCAAGUUAUCAUGGCCCUUACGGGUAGGGCUACACACGUGCUACAAAUGGUGGUGACAAGGGGCAGCGAGACAGGAGAGCCAACCUAAUCUCCAAAAGCCAUCGCAGUCCGGAUUGCAGUCUGCAACUCGAGUGCAUGAAGUCGGAAUCGGAUAGUAAUCGCAGAUCAGCAUUAAGCGGGAAUACGACCUU
Molecule: ribosomal RNA, 422 nt
Filed under: endophytic bacterium SB43
Lineage: Bacteria
Description: bacterial SSU rRNA
Rfam family: Bacterial small subunit ribosomal RNA
Source: RNAcentral